This is a long non-coding RNA of Cyprinus carpio (common carp), 1598 nucleotides long. The record is from Ensembl. NCBI's taxonomy places the organism in Eukaryota, Metazoa, Chordata, Actinopteri, Cypriniformes, Cyprinidae.
CUGAAUAGUGUUUAUAGUUUUGAGGAAAGUGUUUGGAUGAGCUAUUGUGUAUUUGAAACCAGCUGAAUGAUUUUAGUAAGCAAUUGAGAAAAAUUGUUAAUGUAUCAGUCAGCUGUCUCCUCUUCAUUUCUUCCUCAUCUUUCAUCUUCAUUAGAUGUUGCCUUUCCUUUAUGCUCCCUUUGAGCCAUUAAUGCAUUAUUCAGUGUAGAACUGACUGAAUGAAGUCAGGGGUUGAGGAGAAAGUGAAUAAGGACAGAGUCUGUCUGUCCGCGCGCUCAGCGCCAAUCAAUGAGAGCCGUUGAGGAGUUUAAUUAAAGGGCGGGAACUCAUUCCGCGCGCGGCAAACACCGGUUCCCGCCCUGAGAGUGCGCGCGCUCAGGCUGCACUGGAUUCCUUCGCCUCAGAUCUUCUGUUCUUAUGUUGUUACAGCAGCUGAGAGGAUGCGGGUUCGAGUGCUGCUGAUCCUGAUCCUCACAUCUGUAUUAAUCACACAUGCUCAAGUGCUCAUGCGCAGAAGGCUGUGUUUUAAAGAGCUGAGCUCCAACACACGCGGUGUGACCUGGACGGAGCCGAAGGGAGCGUUUGACAGCUAUGUAGUCCUGUACAGCACGGACUCAGGUGAGAAAUCCUGUCUCUUCCCCCUUCUAGUGAUCAUCGCACAGAAUACUGGGAAUGUGACUCCGGCCGGGUCUGGAAGGGUCUUUCGGACCCCUCAGGAUAAAAGAGUAACACUCAGUAUAUGAAGUAUUAUGCUGUAUGAUUGGCUACAAAGAUGAAUCUUCUAAAUGUAACCUGGGAAAGUGUGUCCGUGUAAGAUGUUUGAUAGAAGAUGACUAGAUGGAUGUUUAAAGGAGUAGUUUACCCCAAAGAAAAUUUUAAUUCCUGAUCUUUACUCACUCCUAGAACAUCCUAGAUGUAGAUUUCUUUCUUCAGUCGAAGAGAAAUUAAAGUUUUGCAGGAAAACAUUCCAGGAGUUUUAUUUCUAAUCUAGUGCAGAGCUGCUCAAAUGUUUUAAUAUGAAGGGCCAAAAAUCAAACUUGAUUGAGAGCCAUCGGCCAGAAGUAAGUGUUGCAUUAUAUCAAACUAUAUUAAAUUAAAAUUAAUUAACUGAAAAAAAAAAAGUAAAAUAAUUACACAUACAUUUAGUCAUUUAGCAGACACUUUUAUCCAGAGCAGCAUCUCAUGGCUAUAAACAAAACUUUCAUUUAUGAACUAUAGUGUUAAUGAGACGUACUCUUACUAACCCUCGGCUGACAGAGACUGCUGCUGAACAGCUUGUGCUCUGCUCUAUUAAGUGAGAGGACACAUGUGCAUUCAUUCAUUCAUUCAUUCAUUCAUUCAUUCAGCUUGAGUCCAGAUCAGUGCCAGUGCUUGCUUUAUGAACUGCUGAGGAAUAGAUGAUGUGAAGAAAAGUAGGAGAUGUUUUCUUCACUUCAUCUUAUCUCAUGCAUCAUUCUGCAGGUUUCUUAGUGUUUAUUCUCUCUUCCACAAAUUAAUGUCCUAAAAGGUCUUAAAUCAAAGCAGAAUGUCAUGGCCUUAAAUGCUGCAUGAACUGCAAUAUAAUUAAUAUUUUACUCAGAGAUUUUGUUGUGUUUUCC